Molecule: ribosomal RNA, 1319 nt
Filed under: Phyllobaenus sp. G0187
Lineage: Eukaryota; Metazoa; Arthropoda; Insecta; Coleoptera; Cleridae
Description: SSU rRNA
Rfam family: Eukaryotic small subunit ribosomal RNA
Source: RNAcentral
UUGUCUCAAAGAUUAAGCCAUGCAUGUCUCAGUACAAGCCGAAUUAAGGUGAAACCGCGAAAGGCUCAUUAAAUCAGUUAUGGUUCCUUAGAUCGUACCCACAUUUACUUGGAUAACUGUGGUAAUUCUAGAGCUAAUACAUGCAAACAGAGCUCCGACCGGAGACGGAAGGAGCGCUUUUAUUAGAACAAAACCAAUCGGUGGCGGGUUCGCCUGUCAUCGUAUAACUUGGUGACUCUGAAUAACUUUAAGCUGAUCGCACGGUCUAGCACCGGCGACGCAUCUUUCAAAUGUCUGCCUUAUCAACUGUCGAUGGUAGGUUCUGCGCCUACCAUGGUCGUAACGGGUAACGGGGAAUCAGGGUUCGAUUCCGGAGAGGGAGCCUGAGAAACGGCUACCACAUCCAAGGAAGGCAGCAGGCGCGCAAAUUACCCACUCCCGGCACGGGGAGGUAGUGACGAAAAAUAACGAUACGGGACUCAUCCGAGGCCCCGUAAUCGGAAUGAGAACACUCUAAACCCUUUAACGAGGAUCAAUUGGAGGGCAAGUCUGGUGCCAGCAGCCGCGGUAAUUCCAGCUCCAAUAGCGUAUAUUAAAGUUGUUGCGGUUAAAAAGCUCGUAGUCGAAUUUGUGUCCCACGCCGCCGGUUCAUCGUCCGCGGUGUCAACUGGCGUGUCGCAGGACGUCCUGCCGGUGGGCUUAGCUCUUCGCGGGCGACGCCCUACUCAAUCCCGCCGCGGUGCUCUUCAUUGAGUGUCGAGGUGGGCCGGCACGUUUACUUUGAACAAAUUAGAGUGCUUAAAGCAGGCUAAAAUUUCGCCUGAAUACUGUGUGCAUGGAAUAAUGGAAUAGGACCUCGGUUCUAUUUUGUUGGUUUUCGGAACCCCGAGGUAAUGAUUAAUAGGAACGGAUGGGGGCAUUCGUAUUGCGACGUUAGAGGUGAAAUUCUUGGACCGUCGCAAGACGGACAGAAGCGAAAGCAUUUGCCAAAAACGCUUUCAUUGAUCAAGAACGAAAGUUAGAGGUUCGAAGGCGAUCAGAUACCGCCCUAGUUCUAACCAUAAACGAUGCCAGCUAGCGAUCCGCCGACGUUCCUCCGAUGACUCGGCGGGCAGCUUCCGGGAAACCAAAGCUUUUGGGUUCCGGGGGAAGUAUGGUUGCAAAGCUGAAACUUAAAGGAAUUGACGGAAGGGCACCACCAGGAGUGGAGCCUGCGGCUUAAUUUGACUCAACACGGGAAAUCUCACCAGGCCCGGACACCGGAAGGAUUGACAGAUUGAGAGCUCUUUCUUGAUUCGGUGGGUGGUGGUGCAUGGCCG